UUUAAAAAUAUUUUUUGAUAAAUCCUCCUAAAAGGUGAAGUGUGGUACUGUCGAUAAAUUGAUUAAUGCAAACAUAAUGAAAUUAAAUUCUGGCUCAUUGGUAGCAUUCUUGUCCCUGUGUCAGAAGAUCAUCAGUUCAAACCCAACUUUAGGAAUUGGGCACAUGACCUCAGCUGAGGGAGUGCUGCACUGUCGGGAAGCGCUGUGUUUUGGAUGAGGUAUUAAACCUCUCAGCUGAACCAAUGAUGCAAAUGGUACUAUGAGAUAACUCCAGAGUUACAAGAAGUAAGCGGAAGAUCGAAGUAUAAUAGUCUGCAAUUCCUGUGCUCGAGGCGAACAUGCUUGGGAUGGGACUCUGGCCAUUAACCUGAAGGGGAGCACACCUCUUCACCCAUUGCCAGAAUCAAGGCACCUGCAAGAGUCAUCAAAUAACCUCAUUCUACUGUGUACAACUUUCACCUUGGUAAAAGACACCAAAUAAAAUGCUGUGAGAUUCGAAUUGGAAGGGAUGUCUGCAACGUCGCAUGAUCAGUUUGGAACCAGCAAAAGCAGAUCAGGUCCUCAUUAAAACUGGAAAAAUCAGAGGAAAGUAUGUUCAAAACUUAGGUUGUGACUGCAAAAUAAAUAUUUGACCCCCUUG
Molecule: long non-coding RNA, 640 nt
Organism: Carcharodon carcharias (great white shark)
Lineage: Eukaryota; Metazoa; Chordata; Chondrichthyes; Lamniformes; Lamnidae
Exons: 2
Source: RefSeq, a predicted model, not a curated record